Molecule: ribosomal RNA, 741 nt
Filed under: uncultured organism
Description: bacterial SSU rRNA
Rfam family: Bacterial small subunit ribosomal RNA
Source: RNAcentral
UAGCGGCGCGCUUAAUGCAUGCAAGUCGAGCGAUGAGGCCUUCUUCGGAGGGCACAUCAGCGGCAGACGGGUGAGUAACACGUGGGUGACCUGCCCUUGAGACGGGGAUAACGGAUGGAAACAUGCGCUAAUACCCGAUAGGGUCCCAGGGUCAAAGCUGGGAUGAAAGCUUUGGUGCUCAAGGAGGGGCUCGCGGCCCAUCAGCUAGUUGGUGAGGUAACGGCUCACCAAGGCGAAGACGGGUAGGGGGUGUGAGAGCACGGCCCCCCACAAUGGGACUGAGACACGGCCCAUACUCCUACGGGAGGCAGCAGCAGGGAAUAUUGCACAAUGGACGGAAGUCUGAUGCAGCGACGCCGCGUGGAUGAUGAAGGCCUUCGGGUUGUAAAAUCCUUUACGGGGUGACGAGGAAGGACGGUAGCCCCGGAACAAGCGUCGGCUAACUACGUGCCAGCAGCCGCGGUAAGACGUAGGACGCAAGCGUUAUCCGGAUUUACUGGGCGUAAAGCGUCUGUAGGCGGAUGAGUAAGUUGGGCGUGAAAGCUCCGGGCUCAACCCGGAGAGGCCGUUCAAUACUGCUGAUCUAGAGGAGGCCAGAGGGGAGUGGAAUUCCUGGAGUAGCGGUAAAAUGCGCAGAUAUCAGGAAGAACACCAGUGGCGAAGGCGGCUCCCUAGGGCCCACCUGACGCUGAGAGACGACAGCUAGGGGAGCGAACAGGAUUAGAGACCCUGGUAGUCCUA